CGGGACGGGGGAGUAAUGCUUGGGAAUCUAGCUUAUGGAGGGGGAUAACUACGGGAAACUGUAGCUAAUACCGCGUAAUAUCGAAAGAUUAAAGUGUGGGACCUUCGGGCCACAUGCCAUAGGAUGAGCCCAAGUGGGAUUAGGUAGUUGGUGAGGUAAAGGCUCACCAAGCCGACGAUCUCUAGCUGGUCUGAGAGGAUGACCAGCCACACUGGGACUGAGACACGGCCCAG
Molecule: ribosomal RNA, 233 nt
Filed under: uncultured bacterium
Lineage: Bacteria
Description: partial 16S ribosomal RNA
Rfam family: Bacterial small subunit ribosomal RNA
Source: RNAcentral